GGAGGUUGGCGGUGGACGUGUCCACUCGCCAAUCGGGUCAGGUCCGGAAGGAAGCAGCCCCAACGAACCUGGCGCGGGUCAUUUGUCAGCCUCCCAC
RNAcentral lists this signal recognition particle RNA (97 nucleotides) under Hyphomicrobiaceae bacterium. RNAcentral describes it as "signal recognition particle sRNA small type". It matches the Rfam family "Bacterial small signal recognition particle RNA". From Rfam's summary of the family: The signal recognition particle (SRP) is a universally conserved ribonucleoprotein involved in the co-translational targeting of proteins to membranes. Archaeal SRP consists of a 7S RNA and homologues of the eukaryotic SRP19 and SRP54 proteins. The record is from RNAcentral. Lineage: Bacteria; Pseudomonadati; Pseudomonadota; Alphaproteobacteria; Hyphomicrobiales; Hyphomicrobiaceae.